This 497-nucleotide ribosomal RNA is filed under the name uncultured bacterium. RNAcentral describes it as "partial 16S ribosomal RNA". It matches the Rfam family "Bacterial small subunit ribosomal RNA", at positions 28 to 507 of the family's 1533-position model. The record is from RNAcentral.
GAUGAACGCUGGCGGCGUGUCUAAUACAUGCAAGUCGAGCGAACAGACGAGGAGCUUGCUCCUCUGACGUUAGCGGCGGUCGUGUGAGUAACAUGUGGAUAACCUACCUAUAAGACUUGGAUAACUUCGGGAAACCGGAGCUAAUACCGUUUAAUAUAUUAUACCGCAUGGUUCAAUAGUCAAAUAGUGUUUUGCUGUCACUUAUAGAUGGUUCCGCGCCGUAUUAGCUAGUUGUUAAGCUAACGGCUUACCAAGGCAACGAUGCGUAGCCGACCUCAUAGGGAGAACCACCACCCUGGAACUGAGACACGGUCCAGACUACUACGGGAGGCAGCAGUAGGGAAUCUUCCGCAAUGGGCGAAAGCCUGAAGGAGCAACGCCGCGUGAGUGAUGAAGGUCUUCGGAUCGUAAAACUCUGUUAUUAGGGAAGAACAAAUGUGAAAGUAACUAUGCACGUCUUGACGGUACCUAAUCAGACAGCCACGGCUAACUACGUA